AAGUCGUAACAAGGUAACCGUAGGUGAACCUGCGGUUGGAUCAUUAGCGUUUUUAGCAGCGCGCCGUUGUUGUGACCGUUUGUGGAGGGUAGUGUUUCGUUUUGGUUUUGGUUUGUCUUUUGUGUUUGUCUUGUCGUUUGUUUUGUCGUUUGUCUUUUGGUUGGUGUUUGUCGUUUGACUUGUCGUUUGUGUUUCAUCUAUAUUUAUAUCUAUAUCUAUAUCUAUGACCACAUCGACAUGGACAUCGACAACCACAAGCCUCAUGGACAUGGACAACCACAAACCUCAUGGACAGCCACUUCCAAAACUGAAACACGACUCUCGACUACACGCCAAUAAACACUUUUCUUUGCUUUGAUUUCGACUAAACUAAAACAACUUUUGACAACGGAUCUCUUGGCUCUC
Molecule: unclassified non-coding RNA, 405 nt
Filed under: fungal sp.
Lineage: Eukaryota; Fungi
Description: partial internal transcribed spacer region
Rfam family: Eukaryotic small subunit ribosomal RNA (bases 1-46)
Source: RNAcentral